Molecule: ribosomal RNA, 351 nt
Filed under: uncultured bacterium
Lineage: Bacteria
Description: bacterial SSU rRNA
Rfam family: Bacterial small subunit ribosomal RNA
Source: RNAcentral
CGUAGGCGGUUUUUUAAGUCAGAUGUGAAAUCCCCGGGCUCAACCUGGGAAUUGCAUUUGAAACUGGAAAACUAGAGUGUGUGAGAGGGGGGUGGAAUUCCAAGUGUAGCGGUGAAAUGCGUAGAGAUUUGGAGGAAUACCAGUGGCGAAGGCGGCCCCCUGGCACAACACUGACGCUCAGGUGCGAAAGCGUGGGGAGCAAACAGGAUUAGAUACCCUGGUAGUCCACGCCGUAAACGAUGUCUACUAGCUGUUCGUGAUCUUGUACUGUGAGUAGCGCAGCUAACGCGUGAAAGUAGACCGCCUGGGGAGUACGGUCGCAAGAUUAAAACUCAAAUGAAAUUGACGGGA